ACGCUGGCGGUGUGCUUAACACAUGCAAGUGGUGCGACGAACCAGAGCUUGCUCUGGGGCAAAGCCGCGAACGGGUGAGUAACACGUGGGUAAUCUACCCCGAUGACCGGGACAAUCCGAGGAAACUCGGGCUAAUACCGGAUGUGGUACGGAGACAUAAGUCUCUUUACUAAAGGUAGCUUCGGCUUCCGCAUUGGGAGGGGCCCGCGGCCCAUUAGCUAGUUGGUGGGGUCAAGGCCUACCAAGGCAACGAUGGGUAGCUGGUCUGAGAGGACGAUCAGCCACACUGGGACUGAGACACGGCCCAGACUCCUACGGGAGGCAGCAGUGGGGAAUCUUGCGCAAUGCGCGAAAGCGUGACGCAGCAACACCGCGUGAGGGAAGACGGCCUUAGGGUUGUAAACCUCUUUCAGAUGGGACGAAGGUGAUGCGGUGAAUAGCCGAUGUCAUUGACAGUACCGUCAGAAGAAGCUCCGGCUAACUACGUG
Molecule: ribosomal RNA, 488 nt
Filed under: uncultured bacterium
Lineage: Bacteria
Description: bacterial SSU rRNA
Rfam family: Bacterial small subunit ribosomal RNA
Source: RNAcentral